This 493-nucleotide ribosomal RNA is filed under the name uncultured bacterium. RNAcentral describes it as "partial 16S ribosomal RNA". It matches the Rfam family "Bacterial small subunit ribosomal RNA", at positions 355 to 848 of the family's 1533-position model. The record is from RNAcentral.
UGAGGAAUAUUGGUCAAUGGACGAGAGCCUGAACCAGCCAAGUCGCGUGAAGGAAGACUGCCUUAUGGGUUGUAAACUUCUUUUAUACAGGAAUAAAAAGGCUUACGUGUAGGCCAUUGCAAGUACUGUAUGAAUAAGCAUCGGCUAACUCCGUGCCAGCAGCCGCGGUAAUACGGAGGAUGCGAGCGUUAUCCGGAUUUAUUGGGUUUAAAGGGUGCGCAGGCGGGCUUUUAAGUCAGCGGUGAAAUCUGGACGCUUAACGUCCAACUGCCGUUGAAACUGGGAGUCUUGAGUAUGGAUGAAGUAGGCGGAAUUCGUUGUGUAGCGGUGACAUGCAUAGAUAUAACGAGGAACUCCGAUUGCGUAGGCAGCUUACUAAGCCAUAACUGACGCUCAUGCACGAAAGCGUGGGGAUCAAACAGGAUUAGAUACCCUGGUAGUCCACGCCGUAAACGAUGAUUACUAGUUGUAUGCGAUAUGAUAGUAUGUGACU